AUGCUUGUCAGAAUCUCACUUCUUCUCCUUUAGAAAAAGUAUUAUAAAUUCAAAGAAAAAUUUGAGCCCUUGUAGUGCGGUGUUCUGACUUUUCACGCUGGUGCAACAAACAAUAAAUCAUGAAUGUAGGCUAAUGCCUAUUUACAAUUAAUUUUUCAAAGAUAAUAACAAACUAAAGGGACAAAUUUCAGGCGAGCACCACCAUGCCCAGCUAAUUUUUGUACUUUUAGCUUCUAAACCUUUUACAUAUAAUGAACUCACAAAAACAUUAUGCAAUAAGUAUUAUCAACUUACCUAUAAUAUACUGAUUAUGAGGGGAAGUAAUGGUGUUCUUCAGAUUGGGAAUCAUUUAUGUGAUAUGCUAGAAGUUUUGUUAUUUUCCCCAAAGUGUGUCUUUUACAAAAUAAAAGCAGAGAACUCUGGAGGACAAAUUUAAGACAAGAGUAUAGCAGAGGUGAUGAGGUAAAUUAGGAGUGGAGUCCCUUACUACAAUUCAGGAAAGUAAUGAUGAGCGCCCUAACUGUAGCAAUGAAAGUGAAGAUAGACUUGAGUAGAGCUGUUAAGACGUAUUUAAGAGGAAAAAUCAAUAGUAUUUGGUGAACAACUGUGUGUGAAGGGCAAA
This 622-nucleotide long non-coding RNA is filed under the name Pan troglodytes (chimpanzee). Its description in RNAcentral is "long non-coding RNA NONPTRT004510". Lineage: Eukaryota; Metazoa; Chordata; Mammalia; Primates; Hominidae. The record is from RNAcentral.